GGGGCUGAUCUUUGGUUUCGACUCCGCACAUUGAGCCAGGGGAAGCGUGCCGGUGCAGGCUGAGGACCACCGCAAGCGUCGCAGCAACUGAUUAAGCGCCGAGAACACUCAGCGCGACUACGCCCUCGCUGCCUAAUACAGCGACCGCGUGUCUGUCGGACCGGAGAGGCCCCUGCUCCGGACCCCGGCAUCGUUCAGAGGGGCUCCGCCCGCCGGGUUGGCCGCGAGGCCCGGCGGGGACACCCACUUGCGGCUGGGCCCGUCAUCCGGACAUGUUCGCCUGAUCCGGAGGGCCGAGCAGAGACCCCGCGCGGACUGCGCACGGAGAAGCCCUGGUGAAGUGGCGGAGGACCCGGGUUCGAUUCCCGGCAGCUCCACCG
RNAcentral lists this transfer-messenger RNA (380 nucleotides) under Corynebacterium sp. It matches the Rfam family "transfer-messenger RNA". From Rfam's summary of the family: Bacterial tmRNA, also known as 10Sa RNA or SsrA, is named for its dual tRNA and mRNA-like properties. Its role is to liberate the mRNA from a stalled ribosome. The record is from RNAcentral. Lineage: Bacteria; Bacillati; Actinomycetota; Actinomycetes; Mycobacteriales; Corynebacteriaceae.